UUCCCUGGUGUUAGGUAGGGCUGGAGAAGAUAGCAACAGAAGACACCAGAUUAAUUUACAUGACCACUGGAGUCCUGCUUCAGAAAAUAGUCAGUGCCAAGAGUCUGAUGGAAUUCACGCAUAUCUUCAUUGACGAAGUGCAUGAGCGAACUGAAGAAAUGGAUUUCUUGUUGUUGGUAGUCCGCAAACUUUUAAGAACAAAUUCACGUUUUGUGAAGGUAGUCUUGAUGUCAGCCACCAUCAACUGUAAAGAAUUUGCAGACUAUUUUGCUGUCCCUGUUCAGAACAAGAUGAAUCCUGCAUAUGUUUUUGAAGUGGAAGGCAUGCCCCAUUCGAUUGAAGAGUACUAUCUUAAUGACUUGGAG
This 365-nucleotide long non-coding RNA is filed under the name Cavia porcellus (domestic guinea pig). RNAcentral describes it as "lncRNA (ENSCPOG00000030021.1)". Lineage: Eukaryota; Metazoa; Chordata; Mammalia; Rodentia; Caviidae. The record is from RNAcentral.